AAGCGGAGGAGCAUGUGGUUUAAUUCGAUGAUACGCGAGGAACCUUACCUGGGCUCGAACGUAAGAUGACUGUAGGUGAAAGCUUACAUCUCUUCGGAGCAUUUUACGAGGUGCUGCAUGGUUGUCGUCAGCUCGUGCCGUGAGGUGUCGGGUUAAGUCCCAUAACGAGCGCAACCCUACCUUUAGUUGCCAUCAGGUAAUGCUGGGGACUCUAAAGGAACUGCCUACGCAAGUAGUGAGGAAGGCGGGGAUGACGUCAAAUCAGCACGGCCCUUACGUCCAGGGCUACACACGUGCUACAAUGGCCGAUACAGAGGGCAGCUGCCUGGUGACAGGAUGCAAAUCUCCAAAGUCGGUCUCAGUUCGGAUCGGAGUCUGCAACCCGACUCCGUGAAGUUGGAUUCGCUAGUAAUCGCGCAUCAGCCAUGGCGCGGUGAAUACGUUCCCGGGCCUU
RNAcentral lists this ribosomal RNA (454 nucleotides) under uncultured Sphingobacteriales bacterium. RNAcentral's name for it is "bacterial SSU rRNA". It matches the Rfam family "Bacterial small subunit ribosomal RNA", at positions 927 to 1382 of the family's 1533-position model. The record is from RNAcentral. Lineage: Bacteria; Pseudomonadati; Bacteroidota; Sphingobacteriia; Sphingobacteriales.